This 267-nucleotide ribosomal RNA is filed under the name uncultured bacterium. Its description in RNAcentral is "partial 16S ribosomal RNA". It matches the Rfam family "Bacterial small subunit ribosomal RNA", at positions 793 to 1055 of the family's 1533-position model. The record is from RNAcentral.
GUCCUAGCCCUAAACGGUGCUUGCUUGCUGUAAAAGGAAUCGACCCCUUUUGUGGCGGAGCUAACGCGUUAAGCAAGCCGCCUGGGAAGUACGGUCGCAAGAUUAAAACUCAAAGAAAUUGACGGGGGCCUGCACAAGCGGUGGAGUAUGUGGCUUAAUUCGAUGCAACGCGAAGAACCUUACCUGGCCUUGACAUGCAUCUAGUAGAAGGGUGAAAGCCUGACGAGGUAGCAAUACCAGGAUGCACAGGUGCUGCAUGGCUGUCGU